RNAcentral lists this ribosomal RNA (553 nucleotides) under uncultured Bacillus sp. Its description in RNAcentral is "bacterial SSU rRNA". It matches the Rfam family "Bacterial small subunit ribosomal RNA", at positions 564 to 1113 of the family's 1533-position model. Lineage: Bacteria; Bacillati; Bacillota; Bacilli; Caryophanales; Bacillaceae. The record is from RNAcentral.
AGCGCGCGCAGGCGGUUCCUUAAGUCUGAUGUGAAAGCCCCCGGCUCAACCGGGGAGGGUCAUUGGAAACUGGGGAACUUGAGUGCAGAAGAGGAGAGCGGAAUUCCACGUGUAGCGGUGAAAUGCGUAGAGAUGUGGAGGAACACCAGUGGCGAAGGCGGCUCUCUGGUCUGUAACUGACGCUGAGGCGCGAAAGCGUGGGGAGCGAACAGGAUUAGAUACCCUGGUAGUCCACGCCGUAAACGAUGAGUGCUAAGUGUUAGAGGGUUUCCGCCCUUUAGUGCUGCAGCAAACGCAUUAAGCACUCCGCCUGGGGAGUACGGCCGCAAGGCUGAAACUCAAAGGAAUUGACGGGGGCCCGCACAAGCGGUGGAGCAUGUGGUUUAAUUCGAAGCAACGCGAAGAACCUUACCAGGUCUUGACAUCCUCUGACAACCCUAGAGAUAGGGCGUUCCCCUUCGGGGGACAGAGUGACAGGUGGUGCAUGGUUGUCGUCAGCUCGUGUCGUGAGAUGUUGGGUUAAGUCCCGCAACGAGCGCAACCCUUGAUCUUA